This 496-nucleotide ribosomal RNA is filed under the name uncultured bacterium. Its description in RNAcentral is "partial 16S ribosomal RNA". It matches the Rfam family "Bacterial small subunit ribosomal RNA", at positions 28 to 507 of the family's 1533-position model. The record is from RNAcentral.
GAUGAACGCUGGCGGCGUGCCUAAUACAUGCAAGUCGAGCGAACAGACGAGGAGCUUGCUCCUCUGACGUUAGCGGCGGACGGGUGAGUAACACGUGGAUAACCUACCUAUAAGACUGGGAUAACUUCGGGAAACCGGAGCUAAUACCGGAUAAUAUAUUGAACCGCAUGGUUCAAUAGUGAAAGACGGUUUUGCUGUCACUUAUAGAUGGAUCCGCGCCGCAUUAGCUAGUUGGUAAGGUAACGGCUUACCAAGGCAACGAUGCGUAGCCGACCUGAGAGGGUGAUCGGCCACACUGGACCUGAGACACGGUCCAGACUCCUACGGGAGGCAGCAGUAGGGAAUCUUCCGCAGUGGGCGAAAGCUUGACGGAGCAACGCCGCGUGAGUGAUGAAGGUCUUCGGAUCGUAAAACUCUGUUAUUAGGGAGAACAAAUGUGUAAGUAACUAUGCACGUCUUGACGGUACCUAAUCAGAAAGCCACGGCUAACUACGUG